This 127-nucleotide ribosomal RNA is filed under the name uncultured bacterium. RNAcentral describes it as "partial 16S rRNA". The record is from RNAcentral.
AAGCCGGAUCCAGCCAUGCCGCGUGUGUGAAGAAGGUAUUGGGAUGUAAAGCACUCAAGUUGGGAGGAAGGGCAGUUACCUAAUCCGUGAUCUUUGACGUUACCGACAGCAUAAGCACCCGGCUAAC